UUACUUCCAAUUCAAAACUAAU
Molecule: small nuclear RNA, 22 nt
Filed under: Arabidopsis thaliana (thale cress)
Lineage: Eukaryota; Viridiplantae; Streptophyta; Magnoliopsida; Brassicales; Brassicaceae
Description: snRNA_01732
Source: RNAcentral